This is a long non-coding RNA of Cryptotermes secundus, 2448 nucleotides long. RefSeq lists it as uncharacterized. The transcript has 3 exons. NCBI's taxonomy places the organism in Eukaryota, Metazoa, Arthropoda, Insecta, Blattodea, Kalotermitidae. The record is from RefSeq and is a predicted model, not a curated record.
GCCUUUAGUAAAAAAAAAUAUAUAUAUUACGUGUACAUAUAUAGCCCAUGCAUAGCCUUCACGCAAAUUAUUAAAAUAAAUGAGAUCUUAAAAUUCUGAAGAACAGUGAUAUAUUCCGAACCUUUAGUCUUUCCAUCAGCCAUAUAAAACGUAAACCAGUUCUAUCCGUUGUUUUGAUGGGUGUCAGACUUGUUGCCCCAUGUUAAGGGACGAAUAUAUGGUGGUAGUUUGGGCGCAAGAUGCUGAUAAUAUUUGGACCCAAUAUGGAAGAAGUAACAGGAGGCUGGGGAAAACUGCAUGAGGAGGUUCUUAAGUUUCAUUCUUAAACAGGUGGGAAGAGAGAACAUGGAAGAGACUGACAUAUAAGAUACAAUAACAUUAACCAGGAUCUUUCAGGAAGAGAGUAGGAGGAUGUGGACUCAUUUAAGGUGGCCCAGGAUGGGAACUGGUUGCCAUUUAUUGCUAAUAAACCUUUGGGUUCCAUAAAUAGCAGGGAACAUCUUCUGAAGGUACUACACAUAUGCUACUAUGCUUGACUCAAGGCAACUGGCAAUAAUGAAUAGUCAAUAUUAGGGUUAAUUUCACUUUUAUCUUCAAUAGAAAUACUCACAUCAUUAAAACACUACUUUUAAGCAUUUCUAAGUUUCUUUUCACAUGUAUAUUUCUAGUAAUGUAACAUGAUAUUUUAAAUUAAAUGCUACAAUAAAUAUUAAAACAUAUGCUUUUGCAAUGUCAUUAUUGAGAUUUUAUGCUCCUCCUUCAGAAUGUAUUCAAGAAAAUGAAAUACACAGUACCCAGGACAUUAUCAAAGAAUGAUAUUCUUUGAAAGAAACAAUUUUAUAGAAAGCAUUUUUUUAAGUAACAUUGUCCUAUCACUUAACAGAACAAUAAUCCUUCAAAUAUCAUACACAACUAUCUUUCCCUCUGUAAUUUAUACUUUCUGAAUAACUACAAGUUACAAUUUUACAUACAACAUACGGUCUGCAUAUUUAACAAUGUUCCUGUACACACAUCCUUUAUUUAGCCUUCCUAAGAAAAGUCUUUUUUCAAACUAAACCAUUUUUCAUCCCUUACAUGAAAAUAUAAGAAUUUCAGUGUAAAAAAUUCAUUCAUUCAGUCAUAUAAACAAGUUUCCUCUCAGAGAAAUAUUUAAUGAACAGACUGUCCUAACAAUUCACUCUUUACAACACAUGUAAUGAUCUCUGUAACUUACAUAAUUCUCUUUUAAACUAUGGCCUAAACUUGUUUUGAAUAAAAAAUCGACAGGUCAGAUUGAUAAGAUACCAUCCAUACUCCAUUCCUUACUGAAAACACAAAAUAAACCAAGAAGCUGCGAAAUGAGGAAAUGAACUACACCUACACUAUUACUCACAUCUGUCCUCAGCAUUGCUCUGCCAUUUUACUUUAUUCCUCAUUCUGAUGUAUGGCUUAAAAAUAUGACAACCUGUAAAUCCAGAUUUAAUAUGUACAUGUGUACUGAGUACCUUUAAUGUGUUAUGCAAUUUCAUAAUUAGAAACGUUAAUAAUUUUGAAAAUGUGUAACAUCUUGUACAUAUUAACCUUUUAUGUACACACAUCUUGUACAUAUUAACCUUUUAUGUACAAGUACAUAAAACACAGUAAAUGAAAACUAUCUGCAUAUGGGUACAGAACAUACUUAUACUUAUUUUUUUAUUAAUAUUAAUUUAUUUAAUUGUAGCUGUAAUCAUAUUUGCAUUGUAUUAAUUGUGUGUAGUGUGUCCUUUAUUGCUUAUGGAGUUUUAUUGUCUUAUUGUACUAACACUGCCACUGAGUAAAAACCCAUUUGCAGAUUAAAUAUAAUAAUAAUAAAACCAUUACAAGUCAUGUAUAGUAGAAAUGAGUUUACAAUUCUCUAACUACAUAGGCAACUAAUUCAAUGGAACAAAUUAGCUUCAGAAGCCAACAGUCACUCUGCUGGUCAAGGAACUCCCCACUCUUUACAAAACUUCAGACAUUUGUUUCCCUGUAACUGGAGCCUAUCCUAACCCAGUUGAAUCUGGUCACACAUCCCCAUAAUCAUCCAUUUUAAUAUUCUCGUAUUUAUGCAUUGGGUAUUCCAAACUAACUUUUCAUUUGUGUUUUGGUCACUUAGUUUUAUACUGUAUAUUUUACAGUAUGUGUUUGUUUUUACAACAAACACAAGAAAAGCUUACAACAGGCAAAAUCAGAGGACAUGUUUAUUUGCAAGUACCAGAAUAGAGAAUUUGUGUGAAAAUAAUUAAAUCAACAAAACUAUCAGAAACUUCUGUUUAUUGACUGUACAUGUGCCAUGGCAGUAGUUUAUGUCGUAUACACAUUAAAUCUGAAGACUCAUUUAUACAUUCAGUGCAUUUCAACUAUAACUACCAUUAUCAGGCAUGUCACUUCAUUUGUUGAGCACCUUUGCUAGCAGGAACAACUCGUUUUUUUUUUCCUGUGGCGCUACAG